GGUACUUGUACCGACUGGAUGAGCAGCGAACGGGUGAGUAACGCGUGGGGAAUCUGCCUUUGAGCGGGGGACAACAUUUGGAAACGAAUGCUAAUACCGCAUAAAAACUUUAAACACAAGUUUUAAGUUUGAAAGAUGCAAUUGCAUCACUCAAAGAUGAUCCCGCGUUGUAUUAGCUAGUUGGUGAGGUAAAGGCUCACCAAGGCGAUGAUACAUAGCCGACCUGAGAGGGUGAUCGGCCACAUUGGGACUGAGACACGGCCCAAACUCCUACGGGAGGCAGCAGUAGGGAAUCUUCGGCAAUGGACGAAAGUCUGACCGAGCAACGCCGCGUGAGUGAAGAAGGUUUUCGGAUCGUAAAACUCUGUUGGUAGAGAAGAACGUUGGUGAGAGUGGAAAGCUCAUCAAGUGACGGUAACUACCCAGAAAGGGACGGCUAACUACGUGCCAGCAGCCGCGGUAAUACGUAGGUCCCGAGCGUUGUCCGGAUUUAUUGGGCGUAAAGCGAGCGCAGGUGGUUUAUUAAGUCUGGUGUAAAAGGCAGUGGCUCAACCAUUGUAUGCAUUGGAAACUGGUAGACUUGAGUGCAGGAGAGGAGAGUGGAAUUCCAUGUGUGUCGGG
Molecule: ribosomal RNA, 621 nt
Filed under: Lactococcus lactis
Lineage: Bacteria; Bacillati; Bacillota; Bacilli; Lactobacillales; Streptococcaceae
Description: bacterial SSU rRNA
Rfam family: Bacterial small subunit ribosomal RNA
Source: RNAcentral